This 590-nucleotide ribosomal RNA is filed under the name Saccharomyces cerevisiae (brewer's yeast). Its description in RNAcentral is "eukaryotic LSU rRNA". It matches the Rfam family "Eukaryotic large subunit ribosomal RNA", at positions 51 to 655 of the family's 3401-position model. Lineage: Eukaryota; Fungi; Ascomycota; Saccharomycetes; Saccharomycetales; Saccharomycetaceae. The record is from RNAcentral.
CGGAGGAAAAGAAACCAACCGGGAUUGCCUUAGUAACGGCGAGUGAAGCGGCAAAAGCUCAAAUUUGAAAUCUGGUACCUUCGGUGCCCGAGUUGUAAUUUGGAGAGGGCAACUUUGGGGCCGUUCCUUGUCUAUGUUCCUUGGAACAGGACGUCAUAGAGGGUGAGAAUCCCGUGUGGCGAGGAGUGCGGUUCUUUGUAAAGUGCCUUCGAAGAGUCGAGUUGUUUGGGAAUGCAGCUCUAAGUGGGUGGUAAAUUCCAUCUAAAGCUAAAUAUUGGCGAGAGACCGAUAGCGAACAAGUACAGUGAUGGAAAGAUGAAAAGAACUUUGAAAAGAGAGUGAAAAAGUACGUGAAAUUGUUGAAAGGGAAGGGCAUUUGAUCAGACAUGGUGUUUUGUGCCCUCUGCUCCUUGUGGGUAGGGGAAUCUCGCAUUUCACUGGGCCAGCAUCAGUUUUGGUGGCAGGAUAAAUCCAUAGGAAUGUAGCUUGCCUCGGUAAGUAUUAUAGCCUGUGGGAAUACUGCCAGCUGGGACUGAGGACUGCGACGUAAGUCAAGGAUGCUGGCAUAAUGGUUAUAUGCCGCCCGUCUU